This is a long non-coding RNA of Acanthochromis polyacanthus (spiny chromis), 3686 nucleotides long. RefSeq lists it as uncharacterized. The transcript is spliced from 4 exons. NCBI's taxonomy places the organism in Eukaryota, Metazoa, Chordata, Actinopteri, Pomacentridae. The record is from RefSeq and is a predicted model, not a curated record.
UUCACGAUCUUCGUUCUCACUGAGAUGCUUCAAUCAGAGGCUGAUCUUGUCAGAAAAGGUUCAGGUAGCUUUGAGGCUCCGCACAUUUCUGACAGGUGAUGGAAACUCGUGGAAAAACGAAACACACAAGUGGACAAUAUGGAUGAUUGAUUUAGCUCCAGAUCAGAACUGGUCGAGCACAGGCGCGUGCUUGCAUCAUUGGUGUCAUGGCAACAAAAGGUGACGCGCACCUAGAAAAGGCCUGUUGACCUUCAAAAACGUUCUCUUUUGCAUUUGGACAUUUACUUGAACGGGUGCAAAUUGACCAGCCUGCUGCAAAGCUAGCAAUUUUUGGAAAGCCUUUUGGAAAACACUUUGAACACUUCGUUGGACAUCCCAGACAACAAGGACCUUUUUAAAGAAGAAGCUCACCGUCAGCAUGAAGAGGACGCUGGACUCCAUCUCCUGGCCGGACUCCUCCAGGUACCUCCCUUACCCCUUACCUCGCCGUCCUCCUGUCUCCUCCCUCUCUCACUAUCCUUUUGCUCCCCUCCCUCCCCCCUCCUUUCCUAUCUCCUCCUGCCCCUCUCGCUCUGCUUUUUCUCCCCUCCCUCGCUCCAUCUCUCCUCUUCCUCCUCCUCCCCCUAUCUCUCCUUCUCCCCCUCCUCUUCCCCCCUCCUCUCCUGAUUCUUUUCCCCUUCCCUCCCAUCUCCCUGCCCCCUUCCCUCUCCGUCCUCCUGUCUCCUCCCUCUCUCACUAUCCUUUUUCUCCCCUCCCUCCCCCCUCCUCUCCUAUCUCCUUCUCCCCCUCUCGCUCUGCUUUUUCUCCCCUCCCUUCCCCCUCCUCUCCUAUCUCCUUCUCCCCCUCUCGCUCUGCUUUUUCUCCCCUCCCUCCCCCCUCCUCUCUUCUUCCUUCCGUCUCUCCUCCUCCUCCUUCUUCUCCUUCCUCCCCUCCUCCUUUCAAGCGUCGUCGCUGUUCUUCCCCCCUUUCUCCUUUCUCUCCUCCCUUCCGCCCUUGGUUCUUUUACACUCUCCCUGUCCCUCCCUCUCCCCCCUCACUUUCCUCUCCACUUCCUAAACCUGUCCCAACCCUAUCCCUGUCUCCUUCUCCCCCCCCCCCUCCUCUUCCCCCUCCUCUUCUAUCUCCUCCCCCUCCUCCCUUUCGCACUCUUCUUUUUCUCCCGUCCCUCCACCUCUCUGUCCUAUCUCCUCCUCUCUUCCUUGUUCUCGUCCCGCGGAGCCUCCUCCAGCGCCACUGACUGGGCGCUGGAGUUGCAGGAUAUCGGAGGAUGAGAACAAACUCAUCCUUCGGAGGCGGCCUCUUCUUCCCAUCCAAGUUUUUCUGUUGAGGGACCUCCUGACAAACGUACAGGCUCAGUCUAGUCUAUCAUGCAGGAGGUCCCUUCUUAGCAUUUUUUUUUUACUAAUCAUUGUGUGAGUUUCUCUCCCCAGAAGCCUCCUGCCAGCCAACCUUCAGGGAAGAAGGUUCGCAAACCUUCCGUUUCAUUAAAUUUACCCCGUUCUAUUUUAAACAUUUUCGCUACGUGUGAUUUUCUGGAUGUGAUCUGGUCAGAUUUUAUUUGAAUGAAUCUCUUGUGAUUAUGUCUGAUCAGAUCUAUUCCAACUUUAUUUGAAUGAAUUUUCUUCCAUUGUAUUUUGUGUGAUUCUUUGAGCUCGGUUCUUGUCAGUGGGACUCUGGUCAGGGUGCCUGUCAGAGGUGUGGGCGGAUCUGAGGGGGAUCGUGGGAAACCUCCUGUGGUCCCCCUCCUUACAGUGAAGCUCCGCUCUGUCAGAAGGUGAACAGGAUGCAGACGGCAUGUCACAGAGAAGCGACAUGUGUGUGUCUGUAUCCCACCCUGGACCCACAGUGGAGUCCACAGUGACAAGAUCACAGUUCAGGAGAGUCACACCGGGAUUAAUAGGGGUGGUUAAAUGUGUUAUUUAAGAUAGUAAAUGUAGUGUGAGGGUGAAGGUCUCGCUGCCAGAGGGAAGUUUCCAGAAGAACAGGCACGUAAGGAUCCCUGUGAAUGCUGCUGCAUGAAAAGACCGAUGAUCCCAGGACCCAAGACCAAGACAAGGACGACCCCAAAAGACGACUUGAAGAUGAGUGACCGAGCCCCAACAGAGAUGAAGCCAGAGACGACGACCAGCCGGUGAGGAGAAGAAAGAACGACUUUAGCGAGACUUUACUGGAUGCACCGGCUUGUCUGGCUCUGGAGCUGCAUGUUUCUGAUCUGCUGUUAUCGGCCUCAGCAACCUCCAAACUAUUCAUGUUCUUACCAUCCGCUCUACCCUCAAUGCAACCAGAGGUUUUUUUUUAACUUCCCAGAUGGAAGUUUUUUUUUCCUCACCCCAAAUGGAGCUUUUUUUUUUUUAAACUUCCCAACAACAGGAAGUUUUUUUUCCUUCACACUGGUACCACGUGCUUGAUCUGAUCUCACUGCGAAAAGAGAGAUCUUCAAAUAAAAAACAAAACAACACAAUAGAACUGGCAUUUAUUUUCAAGUAUUUAUUAGUUUUUAUUUUUCAUCCUUGUACAUAUUGUAAUUAUUAUGUUUAUUUCCUGGUGUAAAUAUGCUUGCUGCUGUAAAAAUGUGAAUUUCCCCUGACAUGCUGAAGCUCCAUUGUGUUCCCAGGGUAUAUAAGAGUUGCCUGGGGACCAGACAGCCUUUAUAUUGUGAAUUACAAAUACACAUAAAGUCAGUCUGGAACUGCUCCAUUGAACCAAAUCUAGCCCAGAGGCGGGACUACCGAUCACAGCUUGAACUGGAGAGAGCCAAUCAGCAUAACACGUGUGUGACACAAUCACUAAGCGACCUAACAAUUGCCUUUCCGCUAUGACGUUUUGUAGUUUUAACAGCUUCCUUUGCCGUACAGGGGUCCUGAGGAAAAUCUAAGCUCUCCCUUUCAACAGUGGAGGGCAGCAUUACGCAUUCUAUCGUACAGCCUGCCGGAAUUAAAAAUACAUCCCUUUUAAAAAGAAAAGCUUUACGAGCUGCUUCUUGUUGAGGUUUUAAGGACAAAUUCAGCCCGUGCAAAACAGAGGAAACCGCACGAGAGAAACCUUGCUCUGUUGCGGUCGCAUCGUUAACUCCCGCCUCUGGUGCUCUGAUUGGUUCGGUCUGAUCUGCUCGGAGCUUGAAAACCUGUCAAAAUGUGUCAAUGGAGGAGGGCUAGACCGUAUUCCCGUAUAUCCCUUAUAACGGGAAUACAGUCUAGCUAAGCUAGGCUAAUGUAAGAGGUCAUUUCAUGUCAUAAGCAGCACUUUACAUGUAAAGGCCUAGAGUGGUUUCCUGCUGACAUUCAAGCUGUAGCACAACUCAGAAGCCAACAGCCAGACCAGGAUGAGCACAAACGUGAGGAAAAAAACACCAUUUUCAAAGUCUGCACACUGACAAUAACUGCAGACCGGAGUGGAAGACCACCUUCAACACCCACCCAGCCCACUAUUUCUCAGCCGAAAGACAGAAAUGACACCAUGUAAAGCUUCAAAUGUUGUGAAAUGAUUGCUGUUCCCCUGUCAGGUUAUGUGGGGGAGUAAAACACUUGUUAGUCUGUUGUGGGAGUCUUGGAGGAGAUUGAAGUGUGUUUAGAUGAGAGCGCCACACUUAAGCUGUAAGUUUUUUGGUAGGAAAUGAACUUUGCUCUGCUUGAUUGAGACCUCAUGAACAGAAACAAGGUUUUAAAAUAAAAACACCUCCCAAAGCA